RNAcentral lists this ribosomal RNA (385 nucleotides) under uncultured eukaryote. Its description in RNAcentral is "SSU rRNA". It matches the Rfam family "Eukaryotic small subunit ribosomal RNA", at positions 587 to 972 of the family's 1831-position model. The record is from RNAcentral.
AGCUCCAAUGGCGUAUAUUAAAGUUGUUGCAGUUAAAAAGCUCGUAGUUGGAUUUCUGGCAGGAGCGACCGGUCGGCCCAUUGUGGUGUGUACUAGUGUUGCAUCUGGCCAUAUUUGUGGAGAGCGUGUGUGGCAUUAAUUUGUCGUGCUCGGGACCCGCAUCGUUUACUGUGAGAAAAUUAGAGUGUUCAAAGCAGGCUUAUGCCUUGGAUAUGUUAGCAUGGAAUAAUAAGAUAAGACUUUGGCGGUCUAUUUUGUUGGUUUGCACGCCAUUGUAAUGAUUGAUAGGGACAGUUGGGGGUAUUCAUAUUUAAUUGUCAGAGGUGAAAUUCUUGGAUUUAUGAAAGAUGAACUACUGCGAAAGCAUUUACCAAGGAUGUUUUCA